Molecule: long non-coding RNA, 459 nt
Filed under: Citrus x clementina
Lineage: Eukaryota; Viridiplantae; Streptophyta; Magnoliopsida; Sapindales; Rutaceae
Description: Citrus clementina (C. clementina) long non-coding RNA (CCLE_LNC005394)
Source: RNAcentral
CUUCAAUUUAUCUGAUGUCAAAAUUAGAAUUACUUCCGCCUGAGAUGACCACAAUUCAAUUGGUAAAUGAUUGGAUUAUCGAAGUCUUAUGUGUGCAAAAAAAUGAUGCAAUUUUUUGGUUGUGGAUAAGAUUUUGAUAUGGCCACUCAAAACAUACCCAAAAAGAACCUAUAUGGUAUCUGCUACAGUUGUUUUUACAUGAGGCAACCGGUCACUUUAAUUAUAAAGUGAGUCCAUCUCAACCGCUCGAUGCAGCUGGGUUUCAUCCAACGACAAUAAUGAAUGCAGACAAAAAAGUAUCGUAUGUGACAACAAUUGCAACAUAGACAAGUUCUAAUGAUGAUUAUAAAGUUGUGAGGAUUUUGCAUUUUUUACAUCAGCUGUGGACAUAGGCGGACCUAACCUUUCUAGGCCUUUUUUUUAAUGUGCUCUAAUUAUUUUAAAGUUAAAUAAAAAGAA